UUGAACGCUGGCGGCAUGCCUUACACAUGCAAGUCGAACGGCAGCGCGGGAGCAAUCCUGGCGGCGAGUGGCGAACGGGUGAGUAAUACAUCGGAACGUGCCCAAUCGUGGGGGAUAACGCAGCGAAAGCUGUGCUAAUACCGCAUACGAUCUACGGAUGAAAGCAGGGGAUCGCAAGACCUUGCGCGAAUGGAGCGGCCGAUGGCAGAUUAGGUAGUUGGUGAGGUAAAGGCUCACCAAGCCUUCGAUCUGUAGCUGGUCUGAGAGGACGACCAGCCACACUGGGACUGAGACACGGCCCAGACUCCUACGGGAGGCAGCAGUGGGGAAUUUUGGACAAUGGGCGAAAGCCUGAUCCAGCCAUGCCGCGUGCAGGAUGAAGGCCUUCGGGUUGUAAACUGCUUUUGUACGGAACGAAACGGUCUUUUCUAAUACAGAAGGCUAAUGACGGUACCGUAAGAAUAAGACCGACUA
Molecule: ribosomal RNA, 474 nt
Filed under: Variovorax paradoxus
Lineage: Bacteria; Pseudomonadati; Pseudomonadota; Betaproteobacteria; Burkholderiales; Comamonadaceae
Description: bacterial SSU rRNA
Rfam family: Bacterial small subunit ribosomal RNA
Source: RNAcentral